CAACUUUCAACAACGGAUCUCUUGGCUCUCGCAUCGAUGAAGAACGCAGCGAAAUGCGAUAAGUAAUGUGAAUUGCAGAAUUCAGUGAAUCAUCGAAUCUUUGAACGCACAUUGCGCCUUUUGGUAUUCCGAAAGGCAUGCCUGUUUGAG
RNAcentral lists this ribosomal RNA (150 nucleotides) under Bullera sp. TY-143. RNAcentral describes it as "5.8S ribosomal RNA". It matches the Rfam family "5.8S ribosomal RNA". From Rfam's summary of the family: 5.8S ribosomal RNA (5.8S rRNA) is a component of the large subunit of the eukaryotic ribosome. It is transcribed by RNA polymerase I as part of the 45S precursor that also contains 18S and 28S rRNA. The record is from RNAcentral. Lineage: Eukaryota; Fungi; Basidiomycota; Tremellomycetes; Tremellales; Bulleraceae.